GUGCUCCAUUUCAGUAGCAAGUAUACUAAAACUGAAAGGAUAAUGAAGGAGAUUAAUGUGGCCUUUGCUAAAGAAUGACAAGUAAUUUUAUGAAGUACUCCACAUUUUU
This is a small nuclear RNA of Ictidomys tridecemlineatus (thirteen-lined ground squirrel), 109 nucleotides long. The record is from Ensembl. Lineage: Eukaryota; Metazoa; Chordata; Mammalia; Rodentia; Sciuridae.